UACUGGGCGUAAAGCGCACGCAGGCGGUUUGUUAAGUCAGAUGUGAAAUCCCCGGGCUCAACCUGGGAACUGCAUCUGAUACUGGCAAGCUUGAGUCUCGUAGAGGGGGGUAGAAUUCCAGGUGUAGCGGUGAAAUGCGUAGAGAUCUGGAGGAAUACCGGUGGCGAAGGCGGCCCCCUGGACGAAGACUGACGCUCAGGUGCGAAAGCGUGGGGAGCAAACAGGAUUAGAUACCCUGGUAGUCCACGCCGUAAACGAUGUCGACUUGGAGGUUGUGCCCUUGAG
RNAcentral lists this ribosomal RNA (285 nucleotides) under Escherichia coli. Its description in RNAcentral is "partial 16S ribosomal RNA". It matches the Rfam family "Bacterial small subunit ribosomal RNA", at positions 552 to 836 of the family's 1533-position model. Lineage: Bacteria; Pseudomonadati; Pseudomonadota; Gammaproteobacteria; Enterobacterales; Enterobacteriaceae. The record is from RNAcentral.